This 253-nucleotide ribosomal RNA is filed under the name uncultured bacterium. RNAcentral describes it as "partial 16S ribosomal RNA". It matches the Rfam family "Bacterial small subunit ribosomal RNA", at positions 524 to 776 of the family's 1533-position model. The record is from RNAcentral.
UACGUAGGGAGCAAGCGUUGUCCGGAUUUAUUGGGCGUAAAGAGCUCGUAGGCGGUUCCGUAAGUCAGGUGUGAAAAAUCUGGGCUCAACCCAGUGGAGCACCUGAUACUGCGGUGACUCGAGUCCGGUAGGGGAGUGUGGAAUUCCUGGUGUAGCGGUGAAAUGCGCAGAUAUCAGGAGGAACACCGGUGGUGUAGACGGCUCUCUGGACCGUAACUGACGCUGAGACACGAAAGCGUGGGUAGCAAACAGG